This 9133-nucleotide long non-coding RNA is filed under the name Homo sapiens (human). RNAcentral describes it as "non-protein coding lnc-KIF21B-2:1". Lineage: Eukaryota; Metazoa; Chordata; Mammalia; Primates; Hominidae. The record is from RNAcentral.
GACCACAUCCUGCAGCUCACAGCCAGAGGCAGGUGCAGAAGGGGCACUGUCCUCUAUUGGCCUCAGCCUCUGUGGACCAGAUCCCUCUCAACUGAUCGGGUGCAGGCUGGGCUGCAGGCGGGUAGUUAGUGAGUGCCUGAGAUGUGCAGGCAUGCUCCAGGCACUGGGAACACAGCCUUGAACCAACAGACAAAACCGUCUGCAUGCAUGGAGCUUGCAUCCUGACAGGAGGGACAAGCAAGAAACGAAGAAAUAAAUCGACAGCAUUCCAUUAGUUAGCACCUAGAUAAAAGAGAUAUACCUAUAGUGUUCAAAGCUUGAGCUAUGAGAAAUAAAAGAGCAAAAGAUCGUUUUCAUCAAAAGGACUAUGAAGCAUGUUAUGUUUUACUUAACAAAACCAGUGCUAACCAUGUUACAUCCUCCAGACUUGAAGUGUGUGGGUGUGUUUAACAGACACAAUUUUACCUUUUUUUCCCUUUUAAGUUAUCCGUCAACAUUUUUCAGUCUCUCUUUAAAGAGCAUCUUAAAUUUGCAUAAUAGUCAUUCAUCUUAAUAAAAACAUUACACUGUUGUUGGACAUUGUUGUUUCCUUUCAGGUUUAACUCUUUAAAAACUUCUCUAACUCAGCCGCAGGGUGCACUGCCUCAUGCCUGUAGUCCCGGCACUUCAGGAGGCCAAGGUGGGUGGAUCACGAGGUCAAGAGACUGAGACCAUUCUGGCUAACAUGGUGAAACCCUGUCUCUACUAAAAGUACAAAAAAUUAGCCGGGCGUGGUGGUGCACACCUGUAUUCCCAGCUACUUGGGAGGCUGAGGCAGGAGAAUCGCUUGAACCCAGGAGGUGGAGGUUGCAGUGAGCCGAGAUCACACCACUGCACUCCAGCCUGGGCAACAGAGCAAGAUCCCAUCUCAAAAAAACAAAAAACGAAAACAAAACAAAAAAACUUCUAUAACUCAGUGCAGAAUCGUUUAAAUUUAGUACUGUUGCAUUAGAAGAGAGUGGCAGAAGCAAAACUACAGGGUCGAAGGGUAUAAACAUUUUAAAUAAACAGGAUAUGAAAAGUUCUAAAGCUCUUGAUGAAGAUUGACAAUUGCUUUCUAAAGGAAUCUACUCUCACCAGCCACAUAUGUGGGAAUGCUCGUUUAACCAGUUCCUCGAUGAAUCUGAGCCUCAUCUUCCCCAGUGGGAGAUGGGAGCUCACUGAUCCUCUUUCAUUUUUGUCUGAAUUUAAGGGAAAAUUUCCAAAGGACACAUGGUAGACCAGUUCCGUGAUCUACUCAAACAAAGGGCGGAAACUGUCUCUCCACAUUGCAGAGUUCCACAGCAGGAGGGGAAUGCUGAGUUUCAAUAGCUACUGCAGGAGGGGAGACGAAAACCCACCAGGGCAUGGAGAAGUCUUCUUUCUUCCUGUCUGUUUUCAGGGAACUCAACUAGUCAGUAAGUCAGAAGCAGCAACUUGGCAGGGGUGGAGGUGGGGGCUCAGUCCCAAUAGCCUAGAAAAGUGCCUCCUCUGUACUCUGAGAUCUUGUCACACACAAACCCAGAUGAGAAUCAGCUUCCCUGCCCUGAAAAUUCUGGGGUCUCAGCCCCAUGAAAAAAUAAUUUCUUGCCUCGGAGAGCAAUCGUGAGGAUAGGAAGGGCCAAGACUUAACUGAACUCUCAAACACCGAAGUGCCUGAAAUGUGUCCUGCUGGCAGAGGUGACCUCACAGGCUGCAAGGCUUGCCUCUCUUGGAGUAUAUGGUAGGAACAUGCAGAGAUGCACUUUUUGGCAGGCUGACCUAGGAGAGCCGAUGUUCAAUCCAAGCAGCUCCAAAUGCUGAAGAGAAUACAGGGGUAUUUGAUGGGGGGAUGGGAUGGAUAGCCUGCGACAGAAUGCCAGCCUUCAGACCCAACCUAGUGCUGAGGUGCUGAUGUGCGUGCACACCCACCCGUUCCCCCAGAGCUUGCAACAUCAAGACUGGCCUGUGGGGAUCUGGCUAGGAUGUGCACUGACUGAAAUGUCUUUAGGCCAAAUCCUCUUAAAUCAAAAGUAUAAACAGUGAAUUUCCAAACCCUACAGAAACCUCAAAUGAGAAAUGACAGAGUCAGAAAAUGGCUAAUCCUCCAAGUUUGUACUGGAAGGUCUGAAAAAAGAUAGAAAAAAAAAGGGGGGGCCUGGUAUAUAUUUGAAAAUCCAAAAUGACACAUCUUCUCUUGGAAGUGACACUUGGCUGGCAGAUGCCCUUAUAUAAAUAUAUUUUCUUUCGGUAAUUUUCAAAAUGUGAAAUGUCCUUAAAAAUAAGAAUAAAUGACUUGCUUCCUCCUGUGGGAUUACUGCACCUGCAGAGUGCAGCCAGCUCUCAUGCUCCCAGACACCACCCCAAAUCCUCAUCAUCCUGAGAUCAACCUCAACUACUGUGUUGAGUUUUGUCUCACCCAGUGUACGACCCGCCUCCUGAUAUGCAUUUCACUCCCACUGCUCAAGCAAAGACGGUUGUCAAGACAGGGCUAGCAAGAGUGUUUAUUGAGAAAGAUGAAUUCACAGAGAUUUUGAGGUUCCUGGCUGAGUGAUGGAGACCUCAAAAAACGCCUGGUGAGCGAUUUCAGGACCUUCUGUCCAGAGGGAAAGACCAGAACAACUUCCAGGUGAGUCCUGCCGCUUCACAGGGGGAGAAGUGUCACCAGAUUCAAUGCAAGGGUUUUGUGAGUGAGAAGGGCAGGGGGUCUGACUUGGAGAAGGUAUUUCUCUGAAAGCAACGGCUAUUGUGGGAGACGGGAGAAAGCACAGCCAGAAAUCAGAAUGGCAUUUGGGGGUCUGGGUUAGAUAUUCUGGUGGGUUCUCUUCCCGAUGGGACAGAGAAGGAAACCCACUUCCCUUCUGUCUACUUGGUGAAUCUGCGGGUCUCCGAGUUGCUGUCUGCUACAUCUCAUAGCACCUAUCUUGGACUGGACAAAAUUAGCUCAGGUACCCUGCAGGCUGAGAGGGAACAGCUAGUCACAGGAGCCUGGUUUAGGGGAGUUCAAUUGUUCUGAGGUUCCGGGGAAACCGAUGGAGGAGGCCUUGGGAGUCCAGGCAGCGCGCGAGGAAAUGCGAUGCCGGCCCGAGCAGCUUGCUGCCGCCAGAACAGGCGCGUCUGGGGAGCUCAGUCCCCUCCGGGACCUCUGGCCUCCUCUCGAUGCUCCGCUGCCGCCCACCUCCAGCGGCCCGGGGCAGCUACCAGGAGGCCGAGGCAGUGUUCGCGGCCUGGGCCCGGCAACGGAACACGGAACUGUCGUCCCUGGAGAGCGAGGAGGCUGAGCUGAUCCUUCGCGCCAGGCGGCCGGUGCGCCCGCAGGCCCCGUCCAGCGCCCGGGCUCGGAAUGAGCGGUCCAGCAGGAGGUAGAUGAGCGGGUUGGCGCAGCUGUUGACGAAGGCCAGGCAGGUGGCAAUGGUGAGGCCCCAGCGCAGCGCCAGCAGCAGGGGGCACGGCAGCGGCAGCGCCCCCAGACGCGCCAGGUGGAAGACGGCCCGCAGGGCGCUGAAGGGCAGCCAGGAGCCCACAAACGUGCUCUCGAUGGCGAAGAUGAUGCGCAGCGAGUUCCUCCGGGCCCGACCCACGUGCGGCGGCCGUCGCAGGCGGCGCGAGAUGCGGCAGUAGCAGAAGAGGGUGACGACCAGGGGCAGCACGAAGGUCAGCAGCAGCAGCAGCAAGCUGAGGCCCUGGAAGGCGUGGGAGGGCUCCUCGCCGCACUGGCUGUCCUGGCCCCCAGGCAGGGGCUGCAACCCCCGGUAGACCAGGGAGGGCAGGCCGGCCAGCAGCGCCACGGCCCAGACGCCGCAGCACGAGGCCAGCGCGCAGCGCGGGGUGCGCAGUGGCCUCGCCUCGAGCAGCUUCACCACGGCCAGGUAGCGGUCCACGCUCAUGCCCGCCAGCAGCAGCGCGCCCGCGCAGCGCGUGCCCGCCAGCGCGAAGCUGCUGAGCUUGCAGAGGCCAUCGCCGAACGGCCAGCGGCCGCCUAGCGCCGCCGCCGCGGCCCACAGCGGCAGCGUGAGCACGAAGCCCAGGUCAGCUGCCGCCAGGUGCAGCACGAAGGUAUCCACCAGCCGCCGCGGGCCCCGCCGCCCGGCCAGCAGCCACACCACAAAGGCGUUGCCCAGCAGGCCCACGGCGAAGGCCGCCAGGUAGAGCGCGGGGAUGUAGACGUAGCCGUAGGGCAGGUCCCCGGCCGGACACAGCUCCAGCUCCUCCAGGCCGUCCAACCCCGAGUAGUCCCAGGGCGCUGACCCCGGGCUGGGGCUCCAGGGCUCUGUGGGGGCCAUGGCCUGGCUAUGAGGCCUGCGCGGAGUGCAGCCCUGGGCGCAGGCGGCAGCAGCUCUGAGCAGGAGGGGGUUUGCUCUUCACGCCCGGCCCUGCACCUCCCUUCCUGCCACCCAAGCCGGAGGCAAAUGGGUGGGCAGGAAAGAGGGGAGGGAGGAGGGGAUGGGGUGGGAGGGGCAGGCUUCUGUGAGAGAGAUGGUGGCCUCCGAUUUGGGGCUGACCCGAGGGGUAAGGGCAGGGACAGGCAAAAGGGGCUUCACAUCUAAAUCUUGGGAGGAAAAGUCUUCAGGGCUGGGAGACCUGCCCGGCCUCCCAGUAGGAGCGUGGCCCAUUCCUCUAUUAGUUGCUCAGUUUCUUUGUUCGUGAAAUCGGGAUACUUGCCCCACUGUCUCAGGGUCGCGUUGCAAGAGGUGGUGGGUGCCCGAGAGCCCUAACCUCUUCUCAGCCUCCACUUCACCCCUUCCCACCUGCACCCACCGGCUGCUGUCUUCUCUGUUUUAGAGGUGAGAAGACAGAGCCCCGGGAUUUUAUGAGUAUGGGGCCUAAGGCACGCCCCACCCCAAAUCCACCUGUUCCCUAGGAAAGACUCCACUGCCGGGACACAGCAGAUCUGGGUGGGUGGGGGAGCCCGCCCUGGGCAGUCAAGCAGUUGUUAGCGUCCUGAGAUGUGGGGCUCAUGUCUUCACCCUAUGAGUGGCUUCUCUGACCCAGUCAGGUCCUCAUGAAGCCACGCGAAAGGGUUUUAAGGCAGCGAGGAAGGGGUGUAGUCAGAUCAUCCUGCUGGAAAGGGGUGAAACCUGGGAUUCACAUCUGCCUCUUCCCUGUCUUCUCCUAUCCUAAAAAACCUGUCAAGCCAGACACAGAUGUAAGCUCAGUUCAAAAGAUGACACCUAAUGAAACACCAGAUUAGUUGUCCUAAAUUAUGAGUCAGGAGCUUGGAGGCAGCAAGAUCCCUUCUGAACUGAGAAACUGAGAGUAAGGGGAGGAUUCAUAAAGACGAGGGGGAAUGAAGUCUGACCCUGAGGAGGCAGUGGGACCUAAGGAGGAGAGGAUGGGUGAGGGAAAGCUUGCUCUUUCUCCUGAAGGAGGCAUGCAGCCACUUACAUCUGAAUUCUUCUUAGCAGAUAUCCCUUCCACAAGAUAUUGUGGUAGAACUGAUGUCACAGUGCCCUCUGAGUCUGUCCCCAGUGUUCCCAGGUAUGAGUGGCUGAUGUGCCGGGCAACCCGGUGUGGAAAAUUUGAGGUGGAUUAUCAAUUUUGUUCGAUUAAGACUUGUUAACAAUGAACUCCUCCAUGAAGCAGGCACUGUUUCAGGCACUGCAAGAGAUGCCAUUCUUGGCCUUCGCAGUUUGUUGCAUAGGCAGGAGAGAUGGUUACAUAAGCAGAAUCUUAUGUAAUCUUAUGCAGGGGCCAAAUUGUAGUAAAUGUUAAAAACCAAGCCCUCUUAGGGUUUAGUGGAGGGGGAGUGAUUAUUUUUGACGGGAGGGCUGAAUCAGAAAAGGCCUUCGAGGAGAUGACACUUGAGAUCAGUCCCAGGAAGGAGCUGAAAGUCAAAUAAGAGCAGCAGAAAAGAGAAGAAAGGGUCAGACUCGGAGGAGGGAGUAAAGGGAACAAGUAUACCAAAAUGAGUAGGAAUGUGGGCUUUUCAGGGGACAAGCAGUCUGCCAGAGCCCAGGGUAGGAAGGUGGGGGCAGGAGAUGAAGCAGGAAAGGAUCAUGAGGGGAUUUGGAUUUCAAUCUAUAGGUCAUGGGGAGCCAGGAGGCAUCGAUCUGUGUUUUGAAAAGAUCGCUGGCAGAACUAUGGAGAAGGGAGAGGCUCAAGCCAGGGAGACCCCAUAGUAGGUUGUAAUUAUUUGUGUCUGAAAUAGAUCAUGAGCAGUGGGGACAGAAAUGGGAGGGUAUAUUCAAGAGAUAAUUGUAACAUCAUAGGUCUCACAAAGAGGAGUCAAAGAUAAGCCUGGGGUUUCUCUGCUUAGGGACUAUAUGGACGCUGUCCCCUUAACUGCCAAGAACACAGAGAGGCACAUGUGUGUAUGUGUUCAGUUUGAUGUUGAAGUGGGGUCAUGAAAUAAUUUAUCAUCUAACCAGGAUGUUUCUGAGAGUGAAAGGGGCACUAUCAGAAUUAACCUGGGCCGUAAACCAGGACUAUUUUGGGCAAACUGGGACAUAAGGUCACCCUCGCUCAGGGUCCCUCUGGCACACGGAGAUCCCCAGGAAGGAUUUGGAAAAUGGUCUUAGAGGCCGGGCGCAGUGGCUCACAUCUAAUCCCAGCACUUUGGGAGGCCGAGGUGGGUAGAUCACUUCAAGUCAGGAGCUCGAGACCAGCCUGGCCAACAUGGUGAAACCCUGUCUCUACUAAAAAUGCAAAAAUUAGCCGGGCACGGUACGCGCAAGUCCCAGCUACUCAGGAGGCUGAGGUGGGAGAAUCGCUUGAACCCAGGAGCAAAGGUUGCAGUGAGCUGAGAUCAAGCCACUGCACUCCAGCCUGGGUGAAAGAGCGAGACUCCAUCUCAAAAAGAAAAUGGUCCUAGAGCUCACAGAGGGUUGGGUAUGCAGUGUUUAGGCUGCUCCUGUCAAGAAUUUCUCCCACACCAAUUACAAGAUGGGCAGGGAAGAGAAGAGCCUAGGGAAUGAAUGGUCUGGACCUUCCCUUCACUGGCUUUUCAGCCUCCGGGCUUGGUUUUCCCCUGAAGACCCACCCCAGAGCCGCUUUUCUAAUGUCUGAGCAUGUGGUUGCUGGUGAGCGGUGCCCACAUCCGGGGUGGAGUAGGGGGCUGCAGCCUCCUCCCCUAGAAGGCUAGCAGGGGCAGUGCUUGCCUGCCAGAGCCCAGAGACCAUCAGAGACAGACCCAGUGUUGCUGGACUUCACCCCUUCAGGCACACCUCAGUCUGCGGGCUCAGAGAGUGUGAGUGAUCCUGAAAGCUAGAGAUGAACAGCAGAGAAGCCGCCGGGUGAAAACAAAGAAUGGGGCAAGCAGACCAAGAGGGGAAUAUAGGAAGGGGGUUGAGGGGAAGUAGAAGUAGGUUAUUUUAAAAAUCACAGAGCUACUUGCUUCCUGGGCCAUCAUCUCAUACCCAAGGGAAGUCUGUGGCCCAGAGCAUAUGCUGAAUUUUCUCUGCUGAGGCCUGGGUGCUGUCCAUGGGCCUUACUGAACUUGUCUGGAUGAGAAGAAACAGCAAAGGUCAGAGCCAGGGACACUGCCUUAGGCCCGGUCUCCUGGGGUGCCCAGCCCGGUUUCAGUGACCAAGGCCAACUUCACAAGACUGCUCUUUCACCCUUCAGGAGGACUCCCCACAGGAUUACACACAAGUCAACUAAUAGAAACACUCACCCUUACAGGCUGGGAAUCCUGGCCAUGCUCUCUAACAGGUGUGGACAAAGCAGAAGAAGUCUUCCCUCUUCCUCCAUCCCACCCCUGGGAGCCUUCUCUAACCUCCAUCCCUAAGAGGACUUCCUCUCUCUGCACUGCUGGAGCCAGGGCAACUGUUACGUGGCUCCGUCUUGCCUUGCCCAUGGGAUUAUGAACUUCUCAGGGCGAGGGGGAGCUUCUUUCUACUCAUCAGGGUGAUUAGCACAAGCCUGAAAACAGAGGAGAUACUUUAAAUAAAUAUCCAAUGCUUCGGGCUAAAUUGUUUUCGAGAGUAGGUUUAUUUCUGCCCCUUUACAGGUUAUAUUUAAGUUCUUAUAACUUAUUUUUUCUAAUUUUAAUUUUUCUGUACAAAGAAUCUUAACAUUUUAAGUAAAUUGUAUUUGCCUUUUUAUGUUUAAUCAUAAAAGCCAUCUAAUACAUUACAGAAUAAAGAAGUAGUCGUCAUCUUGGACCUGCUACCCCUACACAACCAAACUUAGCCAGUGAAGGACAUUUUCAAAAGUAUUUAUUUGUAAUCUCAUUAUUUUUAGAUUUUCUAUUUUUAAAUAUUCCAUUUCAGAUAUUCUUCACAUUUUUUACACAGGUGUUUCAAAGUCGUAUCUGUAAUUAGAGUGUACACAGUAUUCUCAAUUAAUAUCAUAUAAAUCCACAUGAGUCUAUGUUGCUUAAUUUUCUAAACCCUUAAAUAUGGAUAUUUAGGAUGUUUCUAGUAUUUUUAACUGUUAUAGAAAUUUGUAAUGAAUAAUUGCACUUAUGACUUUUUUAUAUUGUUUUUAUAACAUAAAUGCUCUUGUAUAAGUACAUAUAAAUAUGUAUUUAUAUACAUAUAAAUAUGUACAAAUAUAACAUAUUUAUAUAAAUAUGUAUAAAUAUAACAUUUAUAUAAAUAUGUUGUAAAACACGUUAUAAAUACAAAUUUUGUAACAAAGGCAAUGAAAAUUUUUAUUGCUUGAUACAAAUGUUUACAGUGAUUAGCAGUUUAGAAUGUCACUGGCAUUGUAUGAGAGUAUAAGGUUCAACACAGUCUUCUUAGAGAUGUUCAUCGGUAACAUAUAUUUUCCAUUGUAAUAGGCAGUGAGGUAAAAUGGUACCUCAUUUCAAUUUGCACUUGUUUAUAAAUAAGAUGGAAAAUCUAUUUAUUUCCUAAGUGAACCAUUCUAAUCAUGUCCUUCACAUAUUUAUUAUAAUCUAUGUAUUUCUUAUUAAUUUGUACAAACUAUAUAUUUAGGAUGAGUCAUGAUUUAUUCCACUUGAUUCAAAUAUUUUUCCAAAUUCUUUUCUUAGCUAUUAUUUAUUUUAGUUUGACAUUUUCAUAUAGUCAAAUUUGUUGCUAUUAGCAAUUUCAGAGUUUAGAAUGUUACUUUCUCUUUGACAAUGUAAGAAGAUUCAGUCUGUCAUUAAAAAAUAAUUUUCAUUAGUAUUUUAAAAUUUACCUGGUGUGUAAUCGAUGUUUUCAUAUUUCUAUCCAGCUUUCCUAACAUCAUU